Molecule: ribosomal RNA, 703 nt
Filed under: uncultured Clostridium sp.
Lineage: Bacteria; Bacillati; Bacillota; Clostridia; Eubacteriales; Clostridiaceae
Description: bacterial SSU rRNA
Rfam family: Bacterial small subunit ribosomal RNA
Source: RNAcentral
GAUGAACGCUGGCGGCGUGCCUAACACAUGCAAGUCGAGCGAACCCUUCGGGGUGAGCGGCGGACGGGUGAGUAACGCGUGGGUAACCUGCCCUAUACACACGGAUAACGUACCGAAAGGUACGCUAAUACGAGAUAACAUAUUUUUAUCGCAUGGUAGAAAUAUCAAAGCUCCGGCGGUAUAGGAUGGACCCGCGUCUGAUUAGCUAGUUGGUAAGGUAAUGGCUUACCAAGGCGACGAUCAGUAGCCGACCUGAGAGGGUGAUCGGCCACAUUGGAACUGAGACACGGUCCAAACUCCUACGGGAGGCAGCAGUGGGGAAUAUUGCACAAUGGGCGAAAGCCUGAUGCAGCAACGCCGCGUGAGCGAUGAAGGCCUUCGGGUCGUAAAGCUCUGUCCUCAAGGAAGAUAAUGACGGUACUUGAGGAGGAAGCCCCGGCUAACUACGUGCCAGCAGCCGCGGUAAUACGUAGGGGGCUAGCGUUAUCCGGAAUUACUGGGCGUAAAGGGUGCGUAGGUGGUUUCUUAAGUCAGAGGUGAAAGGCUACGGCUCAACCGUAGUAAGCCUUUGAAACUGAGAAACUUGAGUGCAGGAGAGGAGAGUAGAAUUCCUAGUGUAGCGGUGAAAUGCGUAGAUAUUAGGAGGAAUACCAGUUGCGAAGGCGGCUCUCUGGACUGUAACUGACACUGAGGCACGAAAGCG